GGUGAGUAAUACAUAGGUAACCUGCCCCUGUGCGGGGGAUAACAGGAGGAAACUCCUGCUAAUACCGCAUAGCCAUGAGCACCGCAUGGAGCUCAUGCCAAAUAUCCUUUCGGGGACAGCGCAGGGAUGGACCUAUGGCGCAUUAGCUAGUUGGCGGGGCAACGGCCCACCAAGGCAACGAUGCGUAGCCGGCCUGAGAGGGCGGACGGCUACAUUGGGACUGAGACACGGCCCAGACUCCUACGGGAGGCAGCAGUAGGGAAUUUUCGGCAAUGGGGGAAACCCUGACCGAGCAACGCCGCGUGAGCGAAGAAGGCCUUCGGGUCGUAAAGCUCUGUUGUAAAGGAAGAACGGCGCAUACAGGAAAUGGUAUGCGAGUGACGGUACUUUACCAGAAAGCCACGGCUAACUACGUGCCAGCAGCCGCGGUAAUACGUAGGUGGCGAGCGUUAUCCGGAAUCAUUGGGCGUAAAGAGGGAGCAGGCGGCCGCAAGGGUCUGUGGUGAAAGACCGAAGCUAAACUUCGGUAAGCCAUGGAAACCGGGCGGCUAGAGUGCGGAAGAGGAUCGUGGAAUUCCAUGUGUAGCGGUGAAAUGCGUAGAUAUAUGGAGGAACACCAGUGGCGAAGGCGACGGUCU
This 638-nucleotide ribosomal RNA is filed under the name uncultured bacterium. RNAcentral's name for it is "bacterial SSU rRNA". It matches the Rfam family "Bacterial small subunit ribosomal RNA", at positions 105 to 730 of the family's 1533-position model. The record is from RNAcentral.